GCGGGCGUGGCGGAACUGGUAGACGCGCUGGAUUUAGGUUCCAGUGGUGAAAAUCGUGGGGGUUCAAGUCCCUCCGCCCGCACCA
Molecule: transfer RNA, 85 nt
Filed under: Beijerinckiaceae bacterium
Lineage: Bacteria; Pseudomonadati; Pseudomonadota; Alphaproteobacteria; Hyphomicrobiales; Beijerinckiaceae
Also listed under: 5 other names
Description: tRNA-Leu
Rfam family: tRNA
About the family: Transfer RNA (tRNA) molecules are approximately 80 nucleotides in length. Their secondary structure includes four short double-helical elements and three loops (D, anti-codon, and T loops).
Source: RNAcentral